CUGAAAUACCAGGGUGGAGAGUUGUAACAGUCCGUCUUAUUUUUUCUGUUUUUAUUCGAUUGCAUUUUUAUAUUUAUAUUUUUCUUUGAAAAGCACAUUGAAUUGCUCCUAUGUAUGAAUUGUGCUAUAGAAAUAAACGUGCUUGCUUUGCUAUGCUACCAGCUCACACAGACAGAAGGAAAACACUUAGCAUUUACAGACUCCUCAUUAUCCGGCCUAAUGAGAAAUUAAUGAGAUGCCAGGCGACACUGACAGACUACGUUACUGGAAGGAGGAUAUAGGUGGCAGCAGGAGGGGUCUGCCAACCGAUGACCCCAUUUUUGACUUCCUUGUCUUCUUAGAAACCAUCAUACUUUGGGGAGAUGGAGCUGACGAAUGCGUCCGAUCUCUGAGCCUGUCCCAGAGCGACACUUCAGAAGGUUACCCAACCUGCUUUUAUGAAUCUGCCAAUAUGAUUAGCAGCAGAUGUGUCCAGAGUAGCCUGGUACCAAAUCAGCAGGGUCAUUUCAAACAGAGGAAACAAUUGGACGCAUCCCAGAGCCCACAACCAAUCAACAACGGACCAGAUGAGAUGAUGAGAUGCAGUACAAUGGCGCCAGGUCCCGACCCACCGGACUCAUCACACACCUUCUGUUCUUCAGGAACCAGAAGGAACCUAACGGAAACACAACAGGGAGGCGCCGACCUGAAUAUGUCUGAUAAGAAACUCACAUUCUCUGUUCGCAACAUUUGCACUAUUUAAUUCAACCCAGGACUCGGCACUGACUGACUGAGGGCCAAAUUCAUGUUUAUAACCGACCUACCAUGGCUUAGAAACACGCUGUGAAGGAGAUAAAUAUGAAGGGAAAAAUUAGAAGGAACACAUGAAUGGUUUGUAUCGGCGGGUGGUGUCAGUCAUUGAUAGGUCUCUGGAGAAUACUCUCAAGAGUUAAAUUUACGUUUUGCAAUGUCUGUGUAUGUUAUUGGCAGAAUCCUGUUUUUUAACCAUGUUACGUUUUGACGUUCUGUUCUAAGCGAACAGUUUAGACUAAACCCAAAAAGCUGAUAAUGGGCCUCUGUAUGCCUAUGUAGAUAUUCCAUUGAAAAUCAGCCGUUUCAGGCUACAGUAGUCAUUUACAGAAUGAACACUGUCUACACUGUGUUUCGGAUCAAUUUGAUGUAAUUCUAAUGGACAGAAAAUGUGCUUCUCUUUCAGAAAUAAGGACAUUUCUAAGUGACCCCAAACUUUUGUCCAGCAUCUCAUUAUCUUAUUGUUAAAUGAUCCAUGCAUUGGCCAUCUUAAAACAAUUACAUAUGUUAUCUUAGAAGAAAUUGCUAAUCCAGGUCAGAGAUUUAAAUCCCAUGCCCUGUGCUACUACAGCCUCUCUUUGCAAAGUUCUGGGGAUGAAAAGGGACAAAUAAACUUCAUCCGGGAAGGUGACAUUGACUUCAUCUCAGAGGUUUGGUAAUGGCUUAAUUGCAUUUUGUGGCUGAUUAAAAGAAAGAACAACAAUUCCAUCGCUAAAUAAAUCUGCAACAGACGGACCCAAGGCUGUGUUACGUAUUACGGGAAAAGAGCUGUAAGACUCUCCGCUAAGAGGGUGAAGCACUUUAACCAUGCUGCUCCACAGCAACGAUGAGACCAGGAUUUCUGACCAUGUUGUAACCUACUGGCGUUGUGAGAGUUCGGUCCAUGCAAUAACAACAUAACAGCUAUGAUAAAAUAAUCACAGCAGUCCUCAGUAGUCCAAAAGGACAUUCUCAGCAGGACUGGAAAUCUGGGCUUAAAUCUUUUUCGUUUCGUUUUAAAGGGGUUGUCAGGGCAUGUGUUGUAGAGGAGAAGACGGAGCACAUUAAAGAGAACCCUACACACAAACAUCUUUAUGUUCCCAGGUUUUGGACCAGAAACUGUGAAGUGUUUUUGAAUAUGUAACCAUAAAAUGGAUAGCAGCCUCGUAUUGUCCAUAAACAUUAUCAAAUAAAAAGAGCAGGUCCUUUAUUUUGGUGAACUUUCCCUCUAAAAGGAAUGCAGAAAACCAGGCCGAAGCUCACAAGAGAAUUGGCCAUCCAUCCCUGAUCUAUGUUACCCAAAUACUACAAUUUAUCCCACAAACAACAAAUAUUGAAUCUUCAGGUUGGUGAGGCUGAUUUGCAAAACCUUUACUGCACUGUUCAGAGACUUGAUAGUUAAAUAAUAAUUAAUACAUAUUUUUAAUGUUACAUAUUCCAAUGACUUGGCUUAUG
Molecule: long non-coding RNA, 2223 nt
Organism: Esox lucius (northern pike)
Lineage: Eukaryota; Metazoa; Chordata; Actinopteri; Esociformes; Esocidae
Exons: 4
Source: RefSeq, a predicted model, not a curated record